UACGAAGGGGGCAAGCGUUGUCCGGAUUCAUUGGGCGUAAAGAGCGUGUAGGCGGCCAGGUAGGUCCGUUGUGAAAACUGCAGGCUCAACCUGCAGAGGUCGAUGGAAACCACCUGGCUAGAGUCCGGAAGAGGAGAGUGGAAUUCCUGGUGUAGCGGUGAAAUACGCAGAUAUCAGGAAGAACACCCGUGGCGAAGGCGGCUCUCUGGGACGGUACUGACGCUGAGACGCGAAAGCGUGGGGAGCGAACAGG
RNAcentral lists this ribosomal RNA (253 nucleotides) under uncultured bacterium. Its description in RNAcentral is "partial 16S ribosomal RNA". It matches the Rfam family "Bacterial small subunit ribosomal RNA", at positions 524 to 776 of the family's 1533-position model. The record is from RNAcentral.